RNAcentral lists this ribosomal RNA (492 nucleotides) under uncultured bacterium. Its description in RNAcentral is "partial 16S ribosomal RNA". It matches the Rfam family "Bacterial small subunit ribosomal RNA", at positions 29 to 507 of the family's 1533-position model. The record is from RNAcentral.
AGUGAACGCUGGCGGUAGGCCUAACACAUGCAAGUCGAACGGCAGCACAGUAAGAGUUUGCUCUUACGGGUGGCGAGUGGCGGACGGGUGAGGAAUACAUCGGAAUCUACUUUUUCGUGGGGGAUAACGUAGGGAAACUUACGCUAAUACCGCAUACGAUCUACGGGUGAAAGCAGGGGAUCUUCGGACCUUGCGCGAUUGAAUGAGCCGAUGUCGGAUUAGCUAGUUGGCGGGGUAAAGGCCCACCAAGGCGACGAUCCGUAGCUGGUCUGAGAGGAUGAUCAGCCACACUGGAACUGAGACACGGUCCAGACUCCUACGGGAGGCAGCAGUGGGGAAUAUUGGACAAUGGGCGCAAGCCUGAUCCAGCCAUACCGCGUGGGAGAAGAAGGCCUUCGGGUUGUAAAGCCCUUUUGUUGGGAAAGAAAAGCAGCAGGUUAAUACCCCGCUGUUCUGACGGUACCCAAAGAAUAAGCACCGGCUAACUUCGUG